This 501-nucleotide ribosomal RNA is filed under the name uncultured bacterium. Its description in RNAcentral is "partial 16S ribosomal RNA". It matches the Rfam family "Bacterial small subunit ribosomal RNA", at positions 30 to 523 of the family's 1533-position model. The record is from RNAcentral.
AUUGAACGCUGGCGGCAGGCUUAACACAUGCAAGUCGAGCGGGGUGAGGUGCUUCGGUACUGAUCCUAGCGGCGGACGGGUGAGUAAUGCUUAGGAAUCUGCCAUUUAGUGGGGGACAACAUUCCGAAAGGAAUGCUAAUACCGCAUACGUCCUACGGGAGAAAGCAGGGGAUCUUCGGACCUUGCGCUAAAUGAUGAGCCUAAGUCGGAUUAGCUAGUUGGUGGGGUAAAGGCCCACCAAGGCGACGAGCUGUAGCGGGUCUGAGAGGAUGAUCCGCCACACUGGGACUGAGACACGGCCCAGACUCCUACGGGAGGCAGCAGUGGGGAAUAUUGGACAAUGGGCGGAAGCCUGAUCCAGCCAUGCCGCGUGUGUGAAGAAGGCCUUUUGGUUGUAAAGCACUUUAAGCGAGGAGGAGGCUACCUGGAUUAAUACUCUAGGAUAGUGGACGUUACUCGCAGAAUAAGCACCGGCUAACUCUGUGCCAGCCGCCGCCGUAA